RNAcentral lists this transfer-messenger RNA (331 nucleotides) under Alphaproteobacteria bacterium 43-37. It matches the Rfam family "Alphaproteobacteria transfer-messenger RNA". From Rfam's summary of the family: Bacterial tmRNA, also known as 10Sa RNA or SsrA, is named for its dual tRNA and mRNA-like properties. Its role is to liberate the mRNA from a stalled ribosome. To accomplish this part of the tmRNA is used as a reading frame that ends in a translation stop signal. The record is from RNAcentral. RNAcentral also lists the same sequence under 1 other name. Lineage: Bacteria; Pseudomonadati; Pseudomonadota; Alphaproteobacteria.
GAAUUUGCAUUUUUUGAUGAUCUAGGCUAAUGUUAGGGCGUUGGGAAACCAACUAUGGCAAUAAACGACCUACAGAAUAGGCGUAUCGGACCCGGGGGCGGAGCCCGGCACCUCCACCACGAAACAUUUAUUUGGGGGUGAACUUAGGAUCGACGAGCGUAAUAAAGGUAUGUUCUUUGCUCGGCAUUGUACCGCCGUUAUCGGGCUAAUCAUAUAAAUGUCAACGAUAACAAGACAUUUGCUAACUCAAACGUUGCCCCAGUAGCUUUGGCUGCUUAAGCAAUUACGGUUUAGCGCGGUUAGGGGGCGCCGGGCAACAGAAGCCCCCACU